UGGGAAUUAAUUUUUCAUAAAGGUACGAUCAGCAGGCGACGUGCGUUGUUUUGAGGGUUCUAGCUGGUGACAAAAGGGUCGUAAUGAAGCAGGAACGACCUCACGCGGACGAAGAUCUUGAAGCGAAAAUCAUAUCGAGUGAGAUCGGAUGCUUCGGUUCCCUCCUGUUUGCAGUGUUUGUGGCCGAAGGCGAAGCUUGUGGAAAAUACGAACACUUGGUGAGCCAAACGUGCAAGUCAAGAAGUUCAUUGCUAAUCACCUGUUUACUACAUGGCUUGCCUAAAACACUCCCAGCAAGAAACUCUUGGAAAGUAAUUGCUUUUAAUAAAAUAACCAACACUCUAUCUUCAGAGUUUUCACUUAUUAUGGCAGACCCAGAAAACUGACUCAAAUUUGGUAGCAAUUGUGACAAAAGCAGUUUUCAGUAGUUGUUGUUUUUGUUUUUUAUGAUAGCAUAGUAAUCCACUAUGGAUGCCACAUGGAACUCUCAAAAAAUAUUUUUUGUGCUUUAUGUAUCAAUCAAUUUGAUGCGUCAGAUUGAAAAAAAGAAAAAGUGAGUUUUGCCAACUAAAAGAGUUCUUGACAUAGAUGAACUAUGACACUGAAUUUUAAUAUUCACAAAAUUGUCCUCAUAAUAAAAAGUUUGAUAGAAGUCUCACAAAAAAUAAUUUCCCAUACACUUCGAUGGUCUGAAAGAUUCUCUUUCAAACAAAUCUUAUGGUAACUAUAACGGGAUAAAAUAAAUAUCUUGAUUCAGAUAUAUUUCUCAAACUUUUAAGUAUCUUCUUUACAUCUCAAAAUUAUAUCAUAACAUUGGUUAACACAAUGCAAUAAGAACUAGUAUAGCAAACCUUUGUGUCAGAAGGCCUCUAAGUGCUAAGAAUGGGAAUAUCAAUUCACUGAAUGUUUAUCACCGACGGAAAAUUAAAUGUGUGUAAAGGACUAGCAUUGUUGAGAUCAGUAGCUAAGAGGAAGCAUUUCUGUUCUCUUCCUUUAACCCUUAAAUACCCAAGAUUUGAUUGUCAAUUCUCCCUUCUAGUUGCUACACAUUUACUUGUAAAUAAGUUAUAAGAAUUUGAUGUAAGAUCAAGAUAACUUCUGCCUGAUAAGUUUCAGUAUUAACGUUAUCUGUUUGCUGGAUAGUGUUUAGAGAAGUUACAUGAAUCAGUCACUUCUGUGAGUUUUUAAAUUGUCUAAUAUUUUGGUCUAAUUCUUUCAAUGGUGUCUUGCCACCUAACAAAUUACCAUGAGUCACGAACUGAAAUGGUUUUCAAUGUAUCACGAGCAUAAGUUGUCCUGAACCAGAUGGGUAUGAAAAUAUUAUUACAUCUGUUAGUUUCAGUUUUCCUCAUGGGUUGAUAGAAACAAGGGUUAUAAUCAAAUGGUUCUACAGGCUCUAUUGUAUAGUUUCCUGUAAGAUGAAAUGUACAAAUGGCAAACUAAAAGACAUCUUGGUGAACAAAAUGGGAACAACUUUAACUGAAGAAUAUGGUACAACAACAAGUACCACAUCAACAACAGCAUCAAUAACAAAUCUCCUCUACCUAAAGAGCUGCAGUCGUUGCCUCACUUUCUAAGCCAUCCUGAACAGCUUCUGUGGUACUUCCUGUGAUGCGUUCCUCUCAACAUGAUGUGGCAAUAUUCUUGUGAAACAAUGUGGUAAUCGUAAAGCUGACUGAAAUUCAUCUCAGAUAAAUCUGCACUCAAAAGACUGUUGUAAUAAAGAAAUCAGCAUCCAUAGAAGUGAAGUUUGUAAUUGAGAUUAUAAACACCUCAAGCUGAAAAACAAACUUUUGAUCUCAUGAAACAGGCAUAAAAGGGAAGCAGAUGUAUCACAAAAAGGAACAUUUAUGAUAAUGAUCUAAGUGGAUGUGAGAAACAUUUUUUGCUUUUAAAGGUAGAAGAUGGUCUAAAGAAAGAGUUUGCUGUGGAGCUCCCCAUGCCCCAGACAUGACCAGCAAGAUCAAAUUUUUCAUCAAAUUUUCAGAAAUCGAGAGAACCUAUACAAACCAAAAUACUAUCUUUCAAUGAGGAACUGCUUACCAAUCUCAAGGGAAUUUAUAGUACAUACAAAUCACAACAGUUAAUAUAAAAUGUAAAAAUCGCUAUGAUACAAUUUAUAAAAUAAUUAAGACUGUAUGUUAGUACUCUUAUUGGU
This 2158-nucleotide long non-coding RNA is filed under the name Pocillopora damicornis (cauliflower coral). RNAcentral describes it as "uncharacterized LOC113666838, transcript variant X2". The record is from RNAcentral. Lineage: Eukaryota; Metazoa; Cnidaria; Anthozoa; Scleractinia; Pocilloporidae.